AUAAUUAGCACAUAAAUUAAAAUUGUUCAAAAUGUAUAUGAAAAACAGACUUUUUAAAACAGUCCAAAAAUAAAAUCAGAGGUUCCCAUUGCAUUCUUCCUCACCGAUCCCCGUUAGGGUUUUGCAAAGCUACUCCGGGGUUGCGUUGUUCGGUGCUCACCGUCACCGGCCGUGUGUACUCGACGUAGGGAUCCGCUCAAUUGCCAUACACUGUACACCACUGCAAAUCUUCAGCGGUCUCGUUUUCUCUAUAACAGAAAAUCACAGCAACUGUUUACACCGACGUCAGAAUAUGGUAGAAGCAGGGGAAGAAGUUAUCGAGUUCAAGUGGGGUAAUAUGAGAUCGGUUGGCGGGAGGAAGAAGGAUGUGCGCUUUUACGAUUCUUUUUUCUACGAUGGUGUAGAAUACUCGCUCUUCGACUCGGUGUUUCUAUACAAGGAAGGCGAACCCGAACAUUACAUUGGCAAAAUCGUUAAAAUAUGGGAGACCUCUGAUAAGAACAAGAGAGUCAAGGUUCUAUGGUAUUUUCGUCCUUCUGAGAUUGGAAACUUUUUGGAAGGAAAUGACGCACUCGAGAACGAGUUGUUUCUGGCAUCUGGUGAAGGUGAAGGACUUGCAAACGUCAAUCCUCUGGAAGCUAUUGCCGGCAAAUGCAAUAUUGUUUGCAUUUCUAAGGACAGCCGGAAUCCAUAUCCAUCAGAUGCAGAAGUUAAAAUGGCUGAAUUUGUAUUCUAUCGUUUCUUUGAUGUUGGAAAGUGCAAGAUAUUGGAUAAGAUAGAUGACAAGAUUGCUGGAAUUGAAGUUAAAAAUAUUUUUAACCAUUUAGAUAGUCGAAAGCAUGUUGGUAUUGGGAAACCCGGUUUAGAAAAGAAAGAGGUUAGUGGGAACUUCAUGGCAUGUAAUGAAGCUGUGGCUCCUUUGAGUCAAAAUAACAAUCAGCCAUUGAUUGAAAAACCAGAUGGCAAGUGUUUUGACGCAUUAGCUAGAGAAAAUGCUGUUUCUAAAUCAUUGUUGGGAAAAAAACCUACUUUGAGAACUGGUGUAAAGGAAGCAAGUGAACUUAAUGAUUCUUACUUGGUUUCCAACAACAAGAAUGCACCUCAAGAUAAAGUUGAAGAAAAUGGAGGUCACAAGGCCUCCUUGGUUAAACAAAAAUCAUUUUCUAAACUAUCACACGCUUCUAGAACUGAUUUGAAAAUGAGGGAAAUGGCUAAAAUGGACUAUGGGCGUGGAAAUGACUCUAUUGAGAAGAACAUUUCCACGUCAAGAGUUAAUUUAGGAAAGGACGAUCACGAGGAUGAAGGUGUUUCAGUUGGACAAUUUAAUAAGGGAGUAGUGGAGGAAAUGACUUCCAAGAAGGAAAAUCGGGGCGGAUUUGGUAAGGUUUCUAGUGCAAAGAUGAACAAUAAUGGGAAAAGUCGAAAGCUUAUUACUUAUGACGAUGAUGACGAUAAUGACGAUAAUGUGAAGACUGUAGCUCCAUCUUCAUCUAAGGAUAAAUAUAAGCUUCAACGUGAAGCAAAUUCUUUUGAUGUGGAGGAGCUUCCUUCCAAGAGGUUAAAGAUCGACAAGGCAACGAAACUCGCUAGUGACAAGUUGUGCAAAGACUCUUCAGUGAUUUCGUCGAAUGUGGAACACGAGAGAGAUUUUCGUCUGAUGGAAGUUACUCGAAGACCCGAUGAUGAUAGAAGCAAAUGGUUUAAGGAAAUUCCUUGGGAAGAAAAACUGAAAACUGCUUUUGAGCAACGAAAACUUGUGCUACUUCAAAACUUGGAUCCAUCUUUAUCUUCAUCAGAGGUACAGAAUAUUAUUUGGACUGGCUUUAAAGAACGUUGCACUGCAAAGGUGAUCCAGAAAACUGAUUACACUAGCCCUCAUUCUGGUCAAGCUUUUGCUAUAUUUAAGAAAAUGGAAGCAGCAGCAAAGGUUGUUAAAGAACUAGAUGAGGGCUGCUUCAUAUUGUCAAACGGACUACCCCUUGUUGGAAGCUUUGGAAUUCCUUGCUUUCCAGAAAAGAAGCCAGUAUUCUAUGGGCAUCAUGUUGUUGAUCAACUUAGAAUGAUGCAGAUGCAUCGAGAAAUGAAAGAUGCUGUAUCUACUUCACAUUGUUCUCAGCCCAACAAUAUUGAAUAUGACAUGGCCAUAGAGUGGUGCUUAUUGCAAGAAAGAGCAAACAAAUCAUGGAGAAUAUUAUAUAAGCAACAAGGCGAGCAGUUGAGAAAACUCAAAGCUAAGCUGAAGUCUAAAACUUAACUGACAUCCAUUGACCAUAUACACAAUGUUUAGUGUGACCGAAUUCUUGGCACUUCUGGAACUAAUAUGAAUUUGUUUCUUGAAAUAGAAACCCACACUCAACACACUCACACGCACAAUUCACAGUAAGAGUAUGAAGAAAAGAAUGAAGAAGAAUUGUAUUAGCCCAAUCGUCCAGUACAAACAGAGAACUAGGGAGCUUAAUCCCCCUCCCAGGACAAUGUGUCCUGCUACUAUUCACAAAGAAUACACUCAACAACCUCCCCCUAUCCCUCAACUCUGCCUUAUAUACAAAGUCACACCCUCAGUGAUUGGGAUUGACUUGUUCAUUGAGGCAGUGACUUGCAUCACGCAUACUUUGGUUUGGCUGUUGUAAAUACUACUUCUAUUCUAUGGGGUUUGGGCGUUGAUAGGAGUACAAUUCAUUGCAACUCCCUGCCGAUCAAGGUGGUUCUCGGUGAUAGCUGUUUGGUCUUUUGGUUGGAAAUGAGAAAAGUUUGGCUAUAUAUUAGUUUUGCCUUCAUUUGUUAUUGAAAAGCCCAAAGGCCAAAAACACCAUCCGAGUUGAAGGCUGCCUAGCUAUGAGCAACCGUAGGUAUAUAUCUAUUGAAAGACCAUGCUUAGCUAAUGGUUCCCUCGUUAAAUUGAAUUCUUUGUACACAUGAUUCCAGGAUAUUUGGUGGGCUUGGUAAGUGAUUUUAAUUUUAUUUUAUUUUAUUUUGUAAUUAAUGGCUUGUCAUGGCCAAGGCAGCCUCUAAGGGUAAAAAAUGUUAAUUGAAGUACUUGCUUAGGUAGUUACAGGAUAAGGCAUUUCUAUGACCACUGAAUGGCUGGCUACCUUCACUCGCUUGAGUGUGUCGUGGCCACCCAUCUUUCUACCUUGAUAAUUGGCAUUUCGUUGUUCUAAGGCAGUGGUCGAGUUCCAUUAUUCCAUGGCUUAUUUCCUAACACCUUUGCAUUCUAUAUUUUCUAACAUGGAAAGAUGAUCCUUACGACCAA
Molecule: RNA transcript, 3253 nt
Organism: Vigna radiata var. radiata (mung bean)
Lineage: Eukaryota; Viridiplantae; Streptophyta; Magnoliopsida; Fabales; Fabaceae
Gene name: protein ANTI-SILENCING 1
Exons: 14
Source: RefSeq, a predicted model, not a curated record